CACUGUAAACAAUUUCUGUUGUUUUCACAGUAUUAUUGCUGUAUUAUCAGAGAAAGCUUACUGUAGAAACAGUUUACAGUAAGUUGCUGUCAAUUUUAUAACUUUUGCAGUAUUAUUGCUGUAUUUCCAGCUUUGUCUUACUGUAGAAACUAUUUACAGGACAGUUGCUGUCAAUUUAUGCUAUUCUUUGAAAAAAAAAAAAAUAGAGUGGGAAAAUAAUUACAGUAAUCCUUAUAUUACUGUUAAAUUGAUGACAGUAAUAAUCCAACUUACAAGGAAUUUUAUUUAUUAAUUAUAUAUUUAUUUAUAAGGAAUUUUAUAAUACAUCGUUUCAUAUGGUAACCCAUAUAUUAAGGCAUUUGGCAUAUAGUUAAAAAAAGCUGAAUGAUUUAUGUGGGUGUUUUUUAAUUGCGUAUCUUCAUGGUUGCCAGAUUUUGACACAAAACCCACCUAAUCUCAUAGGUUAUAGCCAACAAUUUUGUGAGUGGGAGGUAGUUGUAGAGAUGUAGAUGUCAAAAAUAUAGGCUAGGUAAAUAGAUAAAAUCAAUUCCCAUGAUAUAUUUUUAAUAUUAUUAUUUUGCUUUCUAUUAAACACACUAAUUACAUAAAGAGCGGAAUCGUACGCGAUAUACCUGGCAACCAAUCGUCUAAACCGUCAGCCUGCACUCAUUUUCCAAUUCAUUUUCUGAGCCUUUGAGGAUGAACAAGACCAACGAGAACCAGUCAGGUAAAAAUCAUUGAAGUCACCAGAUGUGGAUGGCGUGUAUGUUGUUCGACAUUGCAGCGUGCUGAUGAGUUAAUAAAGAGGCAGCAAAAACCUGGGAUCUGCAUUGGCCCUGUCAAGUCUGGAGAGUGUUUUUACCAUUUAAUGAAUUCAAUUGUAAUAAAAGUUUUUAAAUGGA
This is a long non-coding RNA of Carassius gibelio (silver crucian carp), 902 nucleotides long. RefSeq lists it as uncharacterized. The record is from RefSeq and is a predicted model, not a curated record. NCBI's taxonomy places the organism in Eukaryota, Metazoa, Chordata, Actinopteri, Cypriniformes, Cyprinidae. The transcript has 4 exons.